GGGUCAGCAGGUCGGUCGUGCCACUGGUAUGAACUGGUCUCGCUGAUCCCUCCCUCUUGACGAACUGUGAUGCCAUUAAUUUGGUGUCGCAGGGAAUCAGGACUGUUACUUUGAAAAAUUAGAGUGUUUAAAGCAGGCUUUCGCUUGAAUACAUUAGCAUGGAAUAAUGAAAUAGGACGUUUGAUCCUAUUUUGUUGGUUUCUAGGAUUGACGUAAUGAUUAAUA
Molecule: ribosomal RNA, 225 nt
Filed under: uncultured Glomeromycotina
Lineage: Eukaryota; Fungi; Glomeromycota
Description: partial small subunit ribosomal RNA
Rfam family: Eukaryotic small subunit ribosomal RNA (bases 44-225)
Source: RNAcentral